UACGGAGGGUGCAAACGUUGCUCGGAAUUAUUGGGCGUAAAGCGCACGUAGGCGGACCAUCAAGUCGGUUGUGAAAUCCCUCGGCUUAACCGAGGACGUGCAUUCGAAACUGAUGGCCUUGAGUACAAAUGAUGUGGGCGGAAUGUGCAAUGUAGCGGUGAAAUGCUUAGAUAUGACAUAGAACACCAAUUGCGAAGGCAGCUGGCUACACAUAUAUUGACACUGAGGCACGAAAGCGUGGGGAUCAAACAGG
RNAcentral lists this ribosomal RNA (253 nucleotides) under uncultured bacterium. RNAcentral describes it as "partial 16S ribosomal RNA". It matches the Rfam family "Bacterial small subunit ribosomal RNA", at positions 524 to 776 of the family's 1533-position model. The record is from RNAcentral.